GGGGCUGUAGCUCAGCCGGGAGAGCGCUACAUUCGCAUUGUAGAGGCCAGGGGUUCGAAUCCCCUCAGCUCCACCA
RNAcentral lists this transfer RNA (76 nucleotides) under Chloroflexota bacterium. RNAcentral's name for it is "Chloroflexi bacterium (groundwater metagenome) tRNA-Ala". It matches the Rfam family "tRNA". Rfam says of the family: Transfer RNA (tRNA) molecules are approximately 80 nucleotides in length. Their secondary structure includes four short double-helical elements and three loops (D, anti-codon, and T loops). Lineage: Bacteria; Bacillati; Chloroflexota. The record is from RNAcentral.